GGCAGAGAGUGGCCGAGUGGUCUAAGGCGCUGCGUUAAGGCCGCAGUCCGAAAGGGCGUGGGUUCGAACCCCACUUCUGUCA
Molecule: transfer RNA, 82 nt
Rfam family: tRNA
About the family: Transfer RNA (tRNA) molecules are approximately 80 nucleotides in length. Their secondary structure includes four short double-helical elements and three loops (D, anti-codon, and T loops).